Molecule: ribosomal RNA, 253 nt
Filed under: uncultured bacterium
Lineage: Bacteria
Description: partial 16S ribosomal RNA
Rfam family: Bacterial small subunit ribosomal RNA
Source: RNAcentral
UACGUAGGGGGCUAGCGUUGUCCGGAAUCAUUGGGCGUAAAGAGCGUGUAGGCGGCUUGGUAAGUCCGCUGUGAAAGUCCAGGGCUCAACCCUGGAAAGCCAGUGGAAACUGUCAAGCUAGAGUCCGGAAGAGGCGAGUGGAACUCCUGGUGUAGCGGUGAAAUGCGCAGAUAUCAGGAAGAACACCCGUGGCGAAGGCGGCACUCUGGGACGGUACUGACGCUGAGACGCGAAAGCGUGGGGAGCGAACAGG